AUAAUUUGGAAGCGGGAAGGCUAAAAGAGGAAGGAUAACGGAGAAUUUUUUUUCGAGCGAGGAUAGCUGAAGGUGAACAACAAUGUCCGUGGUUUUCGUCUUCUUCCGUUUUUGCAGGUUCCUUCUUCUGCACACUUCAUCUCUCUCAUCAAAUAAAAUAUGCUCCCCUGUCCCCUGGCGCCGCUGAAAACGAGCAGCCCCCUCUUUCCCAUUGCCGCCGCCGCCGCCGCCGCCACCGCCACCGCUCGCCAUGGCCCCGCCGCUGAAGAAGAGCUCCCGUCAGUCCGCUCCUACCACCAUACUCGCCCUCAGCGACGACCUCCUGCGCGAGGUGCUUCUCCGCCUCCCCUCCCUCCCGAGCCUCGUCCGCGCCGCUUUCGCCUGCCCCGCUUUCCUCCGCGCCGUCCGUUCGUCCCCCUCAUUCCGCCGCCGCUUCCGCGACCUCCACUCGCCCACCAUCCUCGGCGCAUUCCUCGUCGACGACGACACCCCCAUGUCCACCUUCGCGCCCGUCCUUCUCCCCGGCCGCCGCUCCGACCCUGACCACGCCGCCGCCCUCCGCGGCCUCGAUGUCUUCCUUACCCGUCUUCCCGAUGCCAUCGACGUCAAAAAGGACGACGGCGAGGAUGCUGAAGACGAAGAAGGUGUCGAAGACGAGGACGGCCCCGUGGCCGAAUGGUCAAUGUCUGCGUGCCGCGAUGGGUACGUCCUUCUCGUCACGCCGCAAUGGAACACCAAGAAGGUGGCCGUCUACGAUCCCCUCACAGGGGCCCUGCAUCUCUUCCCCGGCCCGCCCGAUGAGGUGUUCAGCGGAGACUCCGAAUAUACUGAAGCUGAGUUCCACGUGAUCCCCUCCGAAGCCGACGACCGGUCGUUUCGCGUGCUCUGCGUCCCCAAACACGGGGGAAAGCAGAUCGCCGUCUUGUCACCGGACACCAGGGAGUGGCAGAUUUCCCCAACACCGUGGAGGCUCCAGGAUGCUGACAAUGUAGAGCUAGUCAGGAACGGGCUUGUUUACUGGGCAUGUUCAGGCCGCCAAGACUAUAUCCCUGUGCUGGACACUGCAUCAAUGCAAUUCUCUCAAGCUCACAUGCCGCCGACUGGGCAUUCGGGUGUCUUAGGGGAGACCAGGGACGGGAGGCUCUGCUUGGUUUGCGUGUCUAACCUUCUGAUUGAUGUUUUGGUCCCAAGAGCUGGUGACCACGGCGUCGAUAAAUGGAUGUGGAACAGGACAUUUCAUAUGGUGGAUGCGUUUGACGAUCUUGCUCUAAACAUGAUCGAUGAAGUUCCUUUGCUCAACGUUAGGGUCGUGGCGAUUGUCGGUGGCUUUGUGUAUUUGACUAUUUGUCAGAAAGAGCCUCCUAACUGGCUCCUAUCAUUUUGCAUUGAAACAAGGGAAAUGCAAAGGCUCUGCCGAAUCACUAGAUCCAAGUUCUACUAUCCGUACAUCAUGGCGUGGCCUCCCUCUUUGCUACGCAACAAGGCGGGAUCAGCUUAGUCCAUCACCUCUCAAAAUAAAUAAAUGACAGGCAACUAAGUUUGGCAGGAGCUACCAGAUGCGACAACCGACUUAUCCAGUUAAUGUCCGACUGAGCUGCCCGAAACUAUUAAGGCCAGAAUGAGAAGCAUAUGUUCCAUUCAAUACAUGCUGCAGAAGUUCUUUCAAGCUCCGUAGCUUGGCUGGUUAGAAACCGGAAUUGCAAGUUUACUGUAGGUGCUACAGCAUGCUGGUCUUUGUUGAUCCACAAGGAGAAUCUGAGCUAUCUUCAGCUAUAACUUGUAUCUGUUUGUGAAACUUCGUUAGAACUGUCAAGCGGCAAGCAACUAUGUAAUGAUACCAUGAUGUAAUGAAACAACGGAUGAUGAUGCUGAAGCUCUUUACUUCCUUCUAUAA
This is an RNA transcript of Lolium perenne, 1894 nucleotides long. RefSeq lists it as uncharacterized. NCBI's taxonomy places the organism in Eukaryota, Viridiplantae, Streptophyta, Magnoliopsida, Poales, Poaceae. The record is from RefSeq and is a predicted model, not a curated record.